This is a non-coding RNA of Leptonychotes weddellii (Weddell seal), 733 nucleotides long. The record is from RefSeq and is a predicted model, not a curated record. NCBI's taxonomy places the organism in Eukaryota, Metazoa, Chordata, Mammalia, Carnivora, Phocidae.
UACAUUAUCUUGUUCUGUUUCCACAUCACCCACAUAAGGUAGUUUGUUUUCUGUUUUACAGGUAAGGAAGCUGAGAUUCAGAAAGUUCUGCACAAGAGAGCCAGUGUUUUGAUGUUGCCACACAGAGGAAGAUGGCAACCAGCAGCCAUUUAGCCUUGAAGAGCAGCAACCAACCAUCAGAGAGACCCUGGCUUUCCCUUAGUUGUCAGGAAAAGGAGACACACCUGCCAAAGGUCACCCAGUUGGAAAGUGCUGGCACUGGGAUCUGCACCAAGCUGGCUGUCCCUGGAGAUCCCCGUGAACCAGGGCACAGUGGUGACGACCCAGGAGAGCAGCAGCAAUGAAGGUUGUGGAAAGGAACUCCCACGAGAAAGCAACAUUCCCCUCUAAGUGCAUUACAGAGCGAAUGUUAACCCAUUGGAGAAGACCCGCCACCCCAUUAACUCACUAGAAUGGAGCUGCUCCUGCCGUCUCUGUUUAACAGAAGUACCUCCUGAGAUCCCAGGACCUCAAGGUAAAUGUCUGAACACCAUCACCACGUACAAAUGUUUAUCUCCUUACUGUAUACGGUCAAAGCAAGAAGCCAGUGUAUGCGAUACUGUGGAGGCCAAAGAUUCUGCUGUUCCUGCUCCAAUCCCAAAUGUCUGUGAGCAUCAGGGCCGGCUCUGCUGCUCUCAGUCAUUGUCUCUAAGUGACUGCUACACAUCUGAACAGCAUACCUUAUGCUAAUGAA